AGCUCUCCGAGUGGUGUGGAUGUUUAUUGGGCCUAAAGCAUCCGUAGCUGGCUAAGUUAGUCCCUUGUUAAAUCCACCGAAUUAAUCGUUGGAUUGCGGGGGAUACUGCUUGGCUAGGGGACGAGAGAGGCAGACGGUAUUCCCGGGGUAGGGGUGAAAUCCUAUAAUCCCGAGAAGACCACCAGUGGCGAAGGCUGUCUGCUAGAACGCGCCCGACGGUGAGGGAUGAAAGCUGGGGGAGCGAACC
This 247-nucleotide ribosomal RNA is filed under the name uncultured crenarchaeote. Its description in RNAcentral is "partial 16S ribosomal RNA". It matches the Rfam family "Archaeal small subunit ribosomal RNA", at positions 478 to 725 of the family's 1478-position model. Lineage: Archaea; Thermoproteati; Thermoproteota. The record is from RNAcentral.